Molecule: ribosomal RNA, 233 nt
Filed under: uncultured bacterium
Lineage: Bacteria
Description: partial 16S ribosomal RNA
Rfam family: Bacterial small subunit ribosomal RNA
Source: RNAcentral
UGGGCAACCUGCCCCAGACACAGGGAUAACCCCGGGGAAACCGGGGCUAAUACCGGAUACUCCGGUCGAACCGCAUGGCUCGAUCGGGAAAGCUCCGACGGUCUGGGAUGGGCCCCGCGGCCUAUCAGCUUGUUGGUGGGGUAACGGCCUACCAAGGCGACGACGGGUAGCUGGUCUGAGAGGAUGGCCAGCCACAGUUGGGACUGAGACACGGCCCAGACUCCGUACGGGAG